UACGUAGGUCCCGAGCGUUGUCCGGAAUUACUGGGUGUAAAGGGUGCGCAGGCGGUCUUGUGCGUCAGAGGUGAAAUAUCACGGCUCAACCGUGAGGGUGCCUUUGAUACGGCAAGACUUGAGUACGAGAGAGGGUGAUGGAAUUCCUGGUGUAGCGGUGAAAUGCGUAGAUAUCAGGAGGAACACCGGUGGCGAAGGCGGUCACCUGGCUCGUUACUGACGCUCAGGCACGAAAGUGUGGGUAGCAAACAGGAUUAGAUACCCAGUAGUCC
This 272-nucleotide ribosomal RNA is filed under the name uncultured prokaryote. RNAcentral's name for it is "partial 16S ribosomal RNA". It matches the Rfam family "Bacterial small subunit ribosomal RNA", at positions 524 to 796 of the family's 1533-position model. The record is from RNAcentral.